Molecule: long non-coding RNA, 4692 nt
Organism: Dreissena polymorpha
Lineage: Eukaryota; Metazoa; Mollusca; Bivalvia; Myida; Dreissenidae
Exons: 3
Source: RefSeq, a predicted model, not a curated record
CGUGUUUUUGGAAAAUCAAAGUGGAAUAGCUCAUGAAGGUUUCAGAGGGUUGUGUAAAUAGCCCCCUUGGUGCAAACAGGUACCAUGUGACAUUGAAAUAAGAAGGCACAUGGUACCAAUUUUGCACAAAUAGGGCGAUUUAAUGUAUUUAUUAUCGUUGUGUGAAUGAAUAAACUGGUUAUACAGGUUUUUGAAGGUGACAUAUGUCCAAUGGUGCGGAAAUCAAGAUUUCCUCGUGCACAGAUUUGUAGGUUUAGUCAUUCGACAGGCAAGAAGGGUAGAGCGAAGAUUUGAUUUAAAUCGUUUUAUUUAUUUUCUCAACCACAUUUAAUUGUGAAAUUCGAUUUAUUUUUGUGUCGUAUUGGCGUUGGUAAUUUAUUAAUUAAACAGUCAGGAUGAGAGGAGAGAUCGCUUCGCCGGCGGGGACAGGGCUGGCACAGUAAAUGGACACACGUAGCGACCACGUGGUAGCGGUCAAGAAGGGGGAGCUGUUAAGAGGUUUACUGACUCUGAAUCACGUGUAAAGCUGGUAAAGGUAGGAAGUUCUAAACUUUAGUAACAUGAUCUAUCACUAAGCAUUUUAGUAUGUGUUUCAAGAUGAAUAUAGGACUAGAAAUACAAUGGGUUCCAAGAGAAUUAAACUCCAUUGCCGAAAGUAUAAGUAAAAUGAGCAAUACAGAUGAAUGGUAAAGCUCACGAGAUUUCUUUGAGUUUUUAAAUGGUAGCUCGGGUCCGAUUUUGAUUUAUCGCUUGGCUAUUUUUAAAAAUGGAAAUACUUAAAGAUAUAAUUCAAAAUUCUUUGAUUUUGAAACAGAAGCAGAUUGCUUUACACAGUAUUGGGGUGCCGAUUUGAAUUGGUUGAUGCCCCUAUUUAUCUCGUAGGAAAAACAAUUUGCACUUUCUAAAAUGCAACGCAUAUGACGUUUUGGUGGUACACAGAUGGCCUAGUGCAGCAUUUUGGCCAUUCUUAUUUGAGGCUGGUAAUGUACAAAUACACUUUGAGAAUGAUAUUAUUGUGUUUGACAAAGGGCAAACUAUUUGUAUGAGUAAUAACCACUCUGUUUCAGUUCAAGACCUUUUUCAAGAAAUGUUCUUGCUAUUCGAAUUUAACUAUACUAUAAGUCGUUUAUAUGUGAAUUGGUGAUAUGAAUGUUUUGACUGUUUUGCUAUACUUAUGGUAUAGUUGGGAUUUUUCACGUGUUUAUAUGUGUAGAAAUGAUUCAAUGGAUGUUGUUUUUGUAUGGCCAUUAAGUAUGUAUAGAAACCAUGUUGGUGUAUGUCCGUUUGCAUCUGGUGCUUACGAAGUCGUGUACAGUACACGAGGAAUGGGAUAUUGCAAAAAAGAAAGCAAAAACAGUACUUGCAAAAAGAAAGCAAGGGUUAAAAAUAAUAGUUUUAAAAGUAUAAUACUUGCAAAAAAGAUAGCAAGGGUAAUAUUUAUUUCAAAUUGGAAAAUACUUGCAAAAAAGAAAGCAAGGGAAACGGUUUUGUUACAGAAAGUAAAUUUAAAAUGUUGGUGUGUGUGUUUCGUGUCUGUCUACCUCUGGGGUAGACGCGAUUGUGUGUGGCAUUUCGUGGGCUCAUUGUUGGAUCGUGUGGUCGUUGUAAUUCUGGUCUGGUUGUGUUUUCUGAUGAUGGAUUGAAAAGGUCCAAUUCUGGGCCGCUGGUUCGGAGGUGCUUAGUGACUAAAGCGGAUGUGUAGAGGCUUUGAUUCUUUGAUUUGAGAUUUGUAACGGUGUGUUUGGUGCGUUUUUUUUUUUGGGGGGGGGGUGGCGGUUUGGGGACUUUGAAUUGAUAGGAUGCGAUACAAGAUUUUUUGAGGAUUGUGCUAUAAUUAUUAUUUUCAAUAGUUAAACGGUUCAAUUGUGCAAGGGCAAACAGGUAUUGACAUUUUGUAAAACAAAUGCAGUUUUAUGCCCUGUCUUCUACUUGAAAAAAUGUAUCUUGGCAACAACUAUUCUAGAUAUUGCAAUAUAUGUUUUGUUUAGAAACAUAACAAAUUGUAAGAAAAUUAAUAAAUACAUUUUUGUUGGCUCAAAGCAGAUUAGUUACAGUAGACAAUUAGAUAUUUUGCACCACAUCUUUCGUGAAAUUUGACUUAAACCUAAUGUUCACGGGUUGCAUUCAUUUCGGUCAGGGGAAGCAACUGCUGUUGCAAAUAGCGGUGUAUCUGAUAGUGUUAAAAAAGCAUGGGCAGUGGAAGACUGCUGGCGCUUAGGAUGGCUACGUGAGAGAUUCGGAUGAAACACAAACAAUUGUUUCUUCUCGUUUGGAUUUGUAAAUAUACAUGGUACUUGGUGUUGUGUGUUGUUAGUUGUGCGUUGUUUUUUUGCCCCGUUCUUUUUCUGUCGAUAAAAUACCCUGCUUGUCAUGACACCUAAACAAAUGUGUUUGUUUUUAUUCUAAAUGGUUAGAUGAUAAAUAAUUUGUUUGUCAUAAAAUGUAAUGGAAUAUAAAACAUAAAUGUAUUUAUUACCGUUGUGUGAAUGAAUAAACUGGUUAUACAGGUUUUUGAAGGUGAUAUAUGUCCAAUGGUGCGGAAAUCAAGAUUUCCUCGUGCACAGAUUCGUAUGUUUAGUCAUUCGACAGGCAAGCACGGUAGAGCGAAGACUUGAUUUAAAUCGUUUUAUUUAUUUAUGCUCUGUUUGUGUGUUGAUGUUAAUAUUAUGUUUUAUGUGUUUCAGUGAGUUUUAUGAGAGCAGACGAAUGACUGACUUGAGAUAGAAAGGGGCAUUGAUUCCGGACAUUUUACCAUUAGAUUUACAUGGUUUUCUAAAAAGAAUACUUAAUGUUUACGAUAUAGUUACAGCUGAUUGUUUGUAGAUUUCUCUAAAAUUAGAGGUUUCAGGAGGUGAUGAAGGCACCUAGACACCGGUUUUGAGCCAUGGGUCCUCAUACGUCCCCCUGCCAUUAAAAGAAAAAUGAAAAAUGAGCAGUAGGGUUGCGUAUCCCGCUCGCGGUUACACCUGAAUCGUUCGUUACCACCGAUUAUUGUUUGGGGUGUACGUGAAGUCAUGUGGACUUCUCUUACUUGAUGGUAAUGAAUAAAUCUCGUUAUUAUCGCAGCUGCUUUUAUCAAAACUAAUGCUUCACUUUAUGUACUUUUCGCAAAUAGGCGUUGUGGAUGGGCAAAGGGGGCGUCCUCGGUGCGCUUUGGGCAUCGGCGGCGAACGGGCGGUUGUUAGGGCGUGGCGUCCUUGGUUGGGCUUGUGAUUUUGAAUUGUGUAGUUAAAUUGUUCAAUUGUAUGAUUUUUAGCUCAUCUAUUUUUUGAAAAAAAAAUUAUGAGCUAUUGUUAUCACCUUGGCGUCGGCGUCGGCGUCGGCGUUGGCGUUGGCGUUGGCGUCGGCGUCCUGUUAAGUUUUGCGUUUAGGUCCACUUUUCUCAGAAAGUAUCAAUGCUAUUGCAUUCAAACUUGGUACACUUACAUACUAUCAUGAGGGGACUGGGCAGGCAAAGUUAGAUAACUCUGGCGUGCAUUUUGACAGAAUUAUGUGCCCUUUUUAUACUUAGAAAAUUGAAAAUUUUGGUUAAGUUUUGCGUUUAGGUCCACUUUUCUCAGUAAGUAUCAAUGCUAUUGCAUUCAAACUUGGUACACUUACUUACUAUCAUGAGGGGACUGGGCAGGCAAAGUUAGAUAACUCUGGCGUGCAUUUUGACAGAAUUAUGUGCCCUUUUUAUACUUAGAAAAUUGAAAAUUUUGGUUAAGUUUUGUGUUUAGGUCCAUUUUAUUAGCUCAUCUAUUUUUUGAAAAAAAAUUAUGAGCUAUUGUCAUCACCUUGGCGUCGGCGUCGGCGUCGGCGUCGGCGUCGGCGUUGGCGUUGGCGUUGGCGUCGGCGUCCGGUUAAGUUUUGCGUUUAGGUCCACUUUUCUCAGAAAGUAUCAAUGCUAUUGCAUUCAAACUUGGUACACUUACUUACUAUCAUGAGGGGACUGGGCAGGCAAAGUUAGAUAACUCUGGCGUGCAUUUUGACUGAAUUAUGUGCCCUUUUUAUACUUAGAAAAUUGAAAAUUUUGGUUAAGUUUUGCGUUUAGGUCCACUUUUUUCAGAAAGUAUCAAUGCUAUUGCAUUCAAACUUGGUACACUUACUUACUAUCAUGAGGGGACUGGGCACGCAAAGUUAGAUAACUCUGGCAUGCAUUUUGACAGAAUUAUGUGCCCUUUUUAUACUUAGAAAAUUGAAAAUUUUGGUUAAGUUUUGUGUUAAGGUCCAUUUUAUUCCUUAAGUAUCAAAGCUAUUGCUUUCAUACUUGCAACACUUACUUACUACCGUAAGGGGACUGUGCAGGCAAAGUUAUGUAACUCUGACUGGCAUUUGGACGGAUUAUGGGCCCUUUAUACUUAGAAAAUUGAAAGUUUGGUUAAGUUUUGUGUUUUGGUCCACUUUACCCCUAAAGUAUCAUAGAUAUUGCUAUCAUACUUGGAACACUCGCAAACUAUCAUAAGGGUACAGUAAAAGGACAAGUUGCAUAACUCUGGAUGUCAUUUUUACGGAAUUAUGGCCCUUUUUUGAAUUAGUAACUUUGAAUAUAUGGUUAAAUUUUGUGUUUCGAUCCACUUUACUUCUUAAGUAUCAAGGCUAUUGCUUUCAAACUUCAAAUACUUUCAUGCUAUCAUGAGGUUACUGUACCUGGCAAGUUGAAUUUUACCUUGACCUUUGAAUGACCUUGACUCUCAAGGUCAAAUUAUUAAA